This is a small RNA of Xanthomonas campestris pv. campestris, 77 nucleotides long. It matches the Rfam family "Xanthomonas sRNA sX9". NCBI's taxonomy places the organism in Bacteria, Pseudomonadati, Pseudomonadota, Gammaproteobacteria, Lysobacterales, Lysobacteraceae. The record is from Rfam.
AUGUACCCCUCGCACACGCCGGUUCUGAGCGCGCCGCCCACACCCGCCUGACGACCGCUCGCUACGUUGUGUCAGCC